UGCCUUUAGCAGGGAGCUCAGUUUGUGUUUGGUGUGUGUUGGGUGAACAUCAUCUUUCUCAUGAUUUUAUUUUCAGUGUUACAUAUUAACAUUUAAAAUACCUAUUUUAUUUUGUUUGUGGUAUCGAGGGGCUGAAGAUGAGUUGGAUAACAGAUUCAGAAUGGAAUGAAAGAUAUACUUGAUCUACCUACUGAGCUAUGUGGAAAAAAUUGGAAGGAUUGUGCAAAAUGAUGCAGAAUGGAAUGAAAGACAUACAUACCUACUUGAUCUACUGAGCUAUGUGGAAAAAAUUGGAAUGAUUGUGCAUAAUGAUGCAGAAUGGAAAGAAAGAUUAUUACUUGUGUACCUGGACCUGUACUUGAACCACUGAACAGUGUCAGAAAAAUUAGAAGGAUUGUGCAUAAUGAUGCAGAGCAGUGGGAAAUAAAUAAUAUGGUUACUUACCUGCCUGGACCUAUACUUGAACUACUUACCUGUUAGCUGUCUCUAUGGUGUAGUAAAAACCUGUUUGUAGUUAACUGCCACUAUGGUGUAGUGAAAAUUGGAACUUGGAAGGAUUGUGCCCAAUGAGGCGAUGUAUUAUUCAUAUUAUUCAUUUGUGAUCCCUGUGAAGAAGAUUUCAUGUAGUGGUAUGAUCUGAAUGCUUUCAUUGUACCUCACUUCUAGUCCUUGGUCAGCUUGAGAAUUCUUUCAAUUUCUUGAGAUAAAUUUGAAAUGCAUUCAUAAAUUGUAAUAUUUUUGUGAAAAAAUGAUUUGAUUGAAUUUUGCUGCUCAGAAUGAGAAUUAUUGAAUUUUGUAUGAAGUACUUGUGUUGACACUUGAUACCUACUCAAAUCCCUUAGUAUUUUGUUGAAAGAAGCCUUUAUUCAUUUUGUCUGUGGAAUUUUAAAGCAUGAAAUAUAUAAUUUUUUCAAAAUAAUUAAUUUUUUGUAGUUUUGCAAUAUUAAUCAUAAUUUGUUAAAACUUUAUUAAUUUUUUGUAAGGUGCACCGGGGCAAGUCAGAAUGAUUUUUCGCAAUUUCAACUUUGACCAGCUGUUACUCCCCUUCUAAUGAACCAAUAUGGAUCAAAUUUAUUAUGUAGGUUCCCAUAAGGGUUCUUAACCUAUGGUAAAAAUUUGAGCGCGAUUGACACAGUAGCUUUCGCUCAGUGGAAUAAAAUAUAAACUGUCCUGACUUACCCCAAUUGGGGGAAGUCAGAACAGGCUAAACUUUGCAGAGGCGUAGAUCACAAACCGAGCGUCCUAGAAAAAUUGCACAGAAACAAAAUUGUAGAGAAUUUAAUUCUCUUUGAGAUCACUCUCAUCAGAUUUUCACUAGGACGCACGGUUCGUCCGCUAUAUGCGAAAAACUAAGAAAUAGAAAGUCUGUAUUUUAGACCAAAUUCAAAAUAACUUCAAAACAACAACAAAAUACAAUUGAACCAAAGACAUCUAAAAUGAAACUGAAUCGCGAAAAUUUUUAUGCCGUGAUGAAGUAGGGGUAGUACCCUCAAGUCACCUUUAGUGGCACUUCGCCAGAUAUAAACCUCUAGGCGCUAGAGCAAGUUUUCUAACUUACCCCGAAUUCCAACUUCCCCCGGUGCACCUUAUCUAUGUAUGUUUCAUUUUUCUCAUCAUUUAUUCUCAUUUUAACUACUUACUUACUUUUUUUGUUGUAGAAUGUGAAUUAUUGAUUUUCUGUAUGAAGUACUUACCUUCUUGAUUCCUUUUGUUGAUACUUGAUAUUUCACAUCAAAUCCCUGUAAAUUUUGUUGAAAGGAAGCCAAAUUUAUUUAUUUUGUAGGUGAAAUUUCAAGUUAUUUUUCGGAGAUUUGCAAUAUUAAGCAUAAUUUUUAAAAAAUAUAAUUCAUUUUUGAUUUUGUUAUCUAUGUAUGUUUCCUUCUCCCCAUGUAUGUUUCAUUUUACCCAUCUUUUAUUCUCAUUUUAACUGUUGUUGUUUGGGUAAGGAAAGUUCCUGCAUGCACUCUUGAUUUUAAUGUGUGAAUUUCAUAAUUUUAUUAAUUUUGUGGAACUAUCAUAAUACCUACUACACAUAGGUAUGUACUUAUUUAUAAAACUCACUUUAUUGUUGUCCGAUUACCUAUAAGUAAUGAAAGUUUUCAAUGUAAACAGUGUUGUAUCUGUUAUAUAAUUACCUAUGUGAUUCUUUAGUGCAUGAUGUUAAUUUUUGAAAAAUACCUAAUUGAAAAAUUUAUAAUUGAAUUUUUUCAGAGUUUGUGUAUGAUGUUAAUUUUUGAAAAAUACCUAAUGUGAUUUAAUUUUAAAAAGUGGCUGUAUUCCUGUUUAAAUCACAUAAUUUGCGCUGUUGUUCCAUGAUAGUUUUAGUCUAUGUGGAUUUCCUGUCAUAACUUGUGGAGUGAAUAUGCAUCAAAACGCGGAAAUUUUUCACUAAUAGGAAGCCACUGCAAGAAUACCUCCUCCAUAAAACACUUGCAAAAAUACUGGUAUUCUACUCUAAAUCACAAACACAUUUGAAGUAUAAUUGCAACUGCUGCCUUCUUUCUACACAAAUUAACAUUCAGUCUUUCAUUUUUCAAUAUCAGAGAAUGUGAACUUGCAUUGUGAAGUUUGUUUUUGUCAUUCAAGUUGUAUCCAUAUUUUCAUGGUACUUGGUAGUUUUAUUAACCAGAAUUGUUUUUACUGUACUAUUUUUUGAGUGUGACGCAACCAAAGCUUCAGAUAAAUGACUUGUAGUUAACAUAAAGCAAUAAUUUUCUUGAUCAAAGUAUCUGAUUUAUAAAGUAUAUUAUAAUUGUAAACUGACUACCUAAAGUGAUAUCCUCUUGGACCAGGUAGUCGGAAGAGCAUUAGGGAGCAUUCUUGUAUCAUGUAACUUGAAUUAGGGCAGCUUAGGUGUCCUUGCUGUGCUGUCAUUUUGUAUAUUUGCAAUGCAAGUGUACAAAACGACUAUACAGCAAUUAAAAUUAUCUGUGUCCUGUAACUUGAAUUAGGGCAGCUUAGGUGUCCUUGCUGUGCUGUCAUUUUGUAUACUUGCAAUGCAAGUGUACAAAAAGACUAUACAGCAAUUAAAAUUAUCCGCGUCAUUGCAUGGUGACCUUUAUUGGUUGUGUAUGUCUUUCUGUUGUAUAGGCUUGAAAGAUGACAAUUUCAUCUAAAUAGGGUACUAUAACAGGAGGGUAUGCUG
This is a long non-coding RNA of Planococcus citri (citrus mealybug), 3145 nucleotides long. RefSeq lists it as uncharacterized. Lineage: Eukaryota; Metazoa; Arthropoda; Insecta; Hemiptera; Pseudococcidae. The transcript is spliced from 6 exons. The record is from RefSeq and is a predicted model, not a curated record.